CCCGCACAAGCGGUGGAGUUAUGUGGUUAAUUCGAUGUUACACGAAGAACCUUACCUGGGUUUGACAUGCUAGUGGUAAUGAAGCGAAAGCUAAGUGACCCGCAAGGGAGCUAGCACAGGUGCUGCAUGGCUGUCGUCAGCUCGUGUCGUGAGAUGUUGGGUUAAGUCCCGCAACGAGCGCAACCCUCGCCUCUAGUUGCCAGCAUUCGGUUGGGCACUCUAGAGGGACUGCCGGCGACAAGUCGGAGGAAGGUGGGAUGACGUCAAAUCAUCAUGCCCCUUAUGACCUGGGCUACACACGUGCUACAAUGGGCGGUACAAAGGGCUGCGAACCCGCGAGGGGGAGCGAAUCCCAAAAAGCCGCUCUCAGUUCGGAUUGCAGGCUGCAACUCGCCUGCAUGAAGCCGGAAUCGCUAGUAAUCGCGGAUCAGCAUGCCGCGGUCGAAUACGUUCCCGGGCCUU
Molecule: ribosomal RNA, 462 nt
Filed under: uncultured Geobacillus sp.
Lineage: Bacteria; Bacillati; Bacillota; Bacilli; Caryophanales; Anoxybacillaceae
Description: bacterial SSU rRNA
Rfam family: Bacterial small subunit ribosomal RNA
Source: RNAcentral